AGUGAACGCUGGCGGUAGGCCUAACACAUGCAAGUCGAACGGCAGCACAGUAAGAGCUUGCUCUUACGGGUGGCGAGUGGCGGACGGGUGAGGAAUACAUCGGAAUCUACUUUUUCGUGGGGGAUAACGUAGGGAAACUUACGCUAAUACCGCAUACGACCUACGGGUGAAAGCAGGGGAUCUUCUGACCUUGCGCGAUUGAAUGAGCCGAUGUCGGAUUAGCUAGUUGGCUGGGUAAAGGCCCACCAAGGCGACGAUCCGUAGCUGGUCUGAGAGGAUGAUCAGCCACACUGGAACUGAGACACGGUCCAGACUCCUACGGGAGGCAGCAGUGGGGAAUAUUGGACAAUGGGCGCAAGCCUGAUCCAGCCAUACCGCGUGGGUGAAGAAGGCCUUCGGGUUGUAAAGCCCUUUUGUUGGGAAAGAAAAGCAGCAGGUUAAUACCCCGCUGUUCUGACGGUACCCAAAGAAUAAGCACCGGCUAACUUCGUG
Molecule: ribosomal RNA, 492 nt
Filed under: uncultured bacterium
Lineage: Bacteria
Description: partial 16S ribosomal RNA
Rfam family: Bacterial small subunit ribosomal RNA
Source: RNAcentral